Molecule: ribosomal RNA, 208 nt
Filed under: uncultured bacterium
Lineage: Bacteria
Description: partial 16S ribosomal RNA
Rfam family: Bacterial small subunit ribosomal RNA
Source: RNAcentral
CGCGCAGGCGGCUGGGCAAGUCCGAUGUGAAAGCUUCCGGCUUAACUGGAAAAUUGCAUCGGAAACUGCUCGGCUUGAAGGUGGGAGAGGGUAGCGGAAUUCCCGGUGUAGUGGUGAAAUGCGUAGAUAUCGGGAGGAACACCAGUGGCGAAGGCGGCUACCUGGCCCACUCUUGACGCUGAGGCGCGAAAGCUAGGGGAGCAAACGG